RNAcentral lists this ribosomal RNA (425 nucleotides) under uncultured bacterium. Its description in RNAcentral is "bacterial SSU rRNA". It matches the Rfam family "Bacterial small subunit ribosomal RNA", at positions 354 to 796 of the family's 1533-position model. The record is from RNAcentral.
GUGGGGAAUAUUGGACAAUGGGGGCAACCCUGAUCCAGCAAUGCCGCGUGAGUGAUGAAGGCCUUCGGGUUGUAAAGCUCUUUUGCCAGGGACGAUGAUGACGGUACCUGGAGAAUAAGCCCCGGCUAACUUCGUGCCAGCAGCCGCGGUAAUACGAAGGGGGCAAGCGUUGUUCGGAAUUACUGGGCGUAAAGGGCGCGUAGGCGGCCGAUCAAGUCAGGCGUGAAAUUCCCGGGCUCAACCUGGGGGCUGCGUUUGAUACUGAUUGGCUUGAAUGCGGGAGAGGAUAGUGGAAUUCCCAGUGUAGAGGUGAAAUUCGUAGAUAUUGGGAAGAACACCAGUGGCGAAGGCGGCUAUCUGGCCCGUUAUUGACGCUGAGGCGCGAAAGCGUGGGGAGCAAACAGGAUUAGAAACCCGGGUAGUCC